This 28-nucleotide non-coding RNA is filed under the name Rattus norvegicus (Norway rat). Lineage: Eukaryota; Metazoa; Chordata; Mammalia; Rodentia; Muridae. The record is from RNAcentral.
UAGAGUUCAGACAGUCUCGGCUUGACCU